UGGGGAAUAUUGGACAAUGGGCGAAAGCCUGAUCCAGCCAUGCCGCGUGUGUGAAGAAGGUCUUCGGAUUGUAAAGCACUUUAAGUUGGGAGGAAGGGCAUUAACCUAAUACGUUAGUGUUUUGACGUUACCGACAGAAUAAGCACCGGCUAACUCUGUGCCAGCAGCCGCGGUAAUACAGAGGGGGCAAGCGUUAAUCGGAAUUACUGGGCGUAAAGUGCGCGUAGGUGGUUUGUUAAGUUGGAUGUGAAAGCCCCGGGCUCAACCUGGGAACUGCAUCCAAAACUGGCAAGCUAGAGUACGGUAGAGGGUGGUGGAAUUUCCUGUGUAGCGGUGAAAUGCGUAGAUAUAGGAAGGAACACCAGUGGCGAAGGCGACCACCUGGACUGAUACUGACACUGAGGUGCGAAAGCGUGGGGAGCAAACA
RNAcentral lists this ribosomal RNA (427 nucleotides) under uncultured bacterium. RNAcentral's name for it is "partial 16S ribosomal RNA". It matches the Rfam family "Bacterial small subunit ribosomal RNA", at positions 355 to 774 of the family's 1533-position model. The record is from RNAcentral.